AGAAUCAACGCUGGCGGCGUGCCUAACACAUGCAAGUCGAACGAGAAAGGGGUAGCAAUACCCUGAGUAAAGUGGCGCACGGGUGAGUAACACGUGACUAACCUACCCUGGAGUGGGGGAUAACUGAGGGAAACCUUAGCUAAUACCGCAUAACACCUACGGGUCAAAGGAGCAAUUCGCUUCAGGAGGGGGUCGCGGCCGAUUAGUUAGUUGGCGGGGUAAUGGCCCACCAAGACGAUGAUCGGUAUCCGGCCUGAGAGGGCGCACGGACACACUGGAACUGAAACACGGUCCAGACUCCUACGGGAGGCAGCAGUGGGGAAUUUUGCGCAAUGGGGGAACCCUGACGCAGCAACGCCGCGUGGAGGAUGAAGUCCUUCGGGACGUAAACUCCUUUCGAUCGGGACGAUAAUGACGGUACCGAGAGAAGAAGCCCGGCUAACUUCGUGCCAGCAGCCGC
This 460-nucleotide ribosomal RNA is filed under the name uncultured bacterium. RNAcentral describes it as "SSU rRNA". It matches the Rfam family "Bacterial small subunit ribosomal RNA", at positions 26 to 518 of the family's 1533-position model. The record is from RNAcentral.